This is a long non-coding RNA of Mytilus californianus (California mussel), 866 nucleotides long. RefSeq lists it as uncharacterized. Lineage: Eukaryota; Metazoa; Mollusca; Bivalvia; Mytilida; Mytilidae. The transcript has 2 exons. The record is from RefSeq and is a predicted model, not a curated record.
AAUUCUGUUCUUUUUAUCACCAAUGAUAAAUAGUUUUACACAAAUUGAAUGCUCUAUAAGACGACAGUUACUAAUAUUCAUAUUGAUAACAAUAAGAAAUGACACUGUUUCUUUUUUUAUUAAUGGUAUAAUGAAAACAGAUCAUGAAGAUACCUUUGUGUAAAGAUAUAUGCAAACAUCAAGGAAAAGACAAACAAAGGCUUGAAAUGCCGAGGACCGACUACUGAGCCUAUGAUACACUCGGGGAUGAGCAGUUAGCCAGCAGCAAUUUCGACCCAGAACUAGUAAAUGACAAUAACAAUGGACAAUUUUUAUGCUAAUUAAGUUGAGGGAUUUUCGAGAAAGCGCAAUUUAAUGUGAAAACAUGUUCGUCGGUUUUUACAUACAUUCUAUAUACAUGUAUUUAUAAACAUAAAACGAAGACGUACGAUUCCCAAUGAGACGACUAUACACCAAAAUUCAAAUGACGUGAAUGUAAGCAAUUAAAAUCAACCGUACGACCUUCAACAACGAGAAACACCUAUACCGUAUAGUCGGCUAUAAAAACCUCCGACAUGAAAAAUAUGAAAGAGUUCAAUUGAGAAAUUAAAGGCUUAAUUUAUAACAUAUAAAUUUACGAAAAAAAAUAUAACAGACAUGAACCAACGAUAACCACUGACCUACAAGCUGCUGGUAUAAACCUAUAUCACAAAUGUUUAAUAGACUAUCUAAAAUUACAUAAAACCAUUGUUUCUCUAUUCAGAUGUAGUAAAUGGGUUUUUGAUGCUUACAAAAUUUCCCGAAAAAUAUUGCUCAAAAACGUAUUCCUUACAUCUUAUAAAUACGUAAUUCUGUAGUUAUAUUUUAUAAAGUAACACAAAUAACAA